CCAAGGAGUUUAGCGUGUGCGCGAGUCAUUGAGUGGAAAAACUCAAAGGCGUAAUGAAAGUGAAGGGAACUUUACGUUUCUGAGGGAAGAUGAGAUGGUUUCUUCACAGAGCCUCUCCGCACUCCCGGGGCGUCUCUAUCUCAUUGCGAGAGGAGGCGCACCUAUAGCGUACACGCUGAUACCCGAAAGAUGGUGAACUAUGCCUGGCCAGGACGAAGCCAGGGGAAACCCUGGUGGAGGUCCGCAGCGAUUCUGACGUGCAAAUCGAUCGUCGGAGCUGGGUUUAGGGGCGAAAGACCAAUCGAACCAUCUAGUAGCUGGUUCCCUCUGAAGUUUCCCUCAGGAUAGCUUGCGCUCGGACGGAACGAGUCUCAUCCGGUAGAGCGAAUGAUUAGAGGCCUUGGGGUCGAAACGACCUCAACCUAUUCUCAAACUCCAAAUAGAUGAGAACCCUGGCUUUCUUAAACUAUGAAGCCAAGGGGUUUCGGAUCAGAGUGCCAAGUGGGCCAAUUUU
This 514-nucleotide ribosomal RNA is filed under the name Ceratocapsus sp. WCW-2003e. RNAcentral describes it as "eukaryotic LSU rRNA". It matches the Rfam family "Eukaryotic large subunit ribosomal RNA", at positions 666 to 1138 of the family's 3401-position model. Lineage: Eukaryota; Metazoa; Arthropoda; Insecta; Hemiptera; Miridae. The record is from RNAcentral.